Molecule: long non-coding RNA, 837 nt
Filed under: Prunus persica (peach)
Lineage: Eukaryota; Viridiplantae; Streptophyta; Magnoliopsida; Rosales; Rosaceae
Description: long non-coding RNA (PPER_LNC005852)
Source: RNAcentral
UUAUAUAGCAAAGGAGAUUAAAAAUAAAAAUAAAUUGAGUUGAUUGGAUCUUAAUUGUUACUUUCUUUCUUCGUAAUUGAGUGGAAACUAACUGGUAGGAUACUAGCUAAGGCUAUAAAUACCGUACUGGUUUCAAAAAGACAAACGAAAAGCAUAACCAGAAAGAAAGUGAAAAAAGCUAGCUAGCAUCAAUAUGCCUUCUAAGAAUCCCGACGUCAAAAAAGUCAUUUGGCCUAACAAUGGUUCUUCGCAGCCGCCUUCUCAGAAUGGUUCCCCGUUUCCAAAUCUUCAGAAGUGUCUAGGAAAAGAUAGGCAGAAAGAUGGUGAGAAGAAAGGGAACGAGUGAAGAAUUAUGCAGCAGGUUCUAAAUAUAAUGUUUAUAUAUUGUUGGGCAAAUAAUGGGGAAUUUGCAAAUAUGCUUGCUCCUUUUGCAGAUGUAUAAAUACAGAAGUUGUUUUCAUUCAAAUUUCCUUCAUUAAUUCAGUUAGCGUUAUUAUAUUGUAAAAGGGGUGGCUGCUGCCAAGAAUAAAUCCCAACUAUAUGUGUAAAAGAAACACAGUAUAUGUACUAUUUGAUUUUGUUCCACAACUCUUGUUGCUAUAUUUCAUUGUGUUUUUGGUUUGAUAGUGUUUACACCAAGUUUUGGGGCUCCCUUAUCGGACAUGAAAACUAUAUAUGUGGCCUCCUCAUCAUCCUAAAGGGAUCUCUCUCUCUCUCUCUCUCUCUCUCUCUCUCUCUCUCUCUCUCUCUCUCUCUCUCUCUCUCUCUCUCUCUCUCUCUCUCUCUCUCUCUCUCUCUGAGCCUUCGAGACUCCCUUAUUCUUGUGUGUGAUUGUGG